CCUACGGGAGGCAGCAGUGAGGAAUAUUGCUCAAUGGGGGAAACCCUGAAGCAGCAACGCCGCGUGGAGGAUGAAGGUUUUCGGAUUGUAAACUCCUUUUGUUAGAGAAGAUAAUGACGGUAUCUAACGAAUAAGCACCGGCUAACUCCGUGCCAGCAGCCGCGGUAAUACGGAGGGUGCAAGCGUUACUCGGAAUCACUGGGCGUAAAGGGCGCGUAGGCGGGAUAGCAAGUCAGAUGUGAAAUCCUAUGGCUUAACCAUAGAACUGCAUUUGAAACUGUUAUUCUAGAGUAUGGGAGAGGUAGGUGGAAUUCGUGGUGUAGGUGUAAAAUCCGUAGAGAUCAAGAGGAAUACUCAUUGCGAAGGCGACCUGCUAGAACAUAACUGACGCUGAUGCGCGAAAGCGUGGGGAGCAAACAGGAUUAGAUACCCUAGUAGUC
This 440-nucleotide ribosomal RNA is filed under the name uncultured bacterium. Its description in RNAcentral is "partial 16S ribosomal RNA". It matches the Rfam family "Bacterial small subunit ribosomal RNA", at positions 338 to 795 of the family's 1533-position model. The record is from RNAcentral.